RNAcentral lists this ribosomal RNA (262 nucleotides) under uncultured bacterium. Its description in RNAcentral is "partial 16S ribosomal RNA". It matches the Rfam family "Bacterial small subunit ribosomal RNA", at positions 524 to 784 of the family's 1533-position model. The record is from RNAcentral.
UACGGAGGGUGCGAGCGUUAAUCGGAAUUACUGGGCGUAAAGGGCGCGUAGGCGGCCGAUCAAGUCAGAUGUGAAAGCCCACGGCUUAACCGUGUGAAGUGCAUCUGAAACUGGUCGGCUUGAGUAUCGGAGAGGAAAGUGGAAUUCCCGGUGUAGAGGUGAAAUUCGUAGAUAUCGGGAGGAAUACCGGUGGCGAAGGCGACUUUCUGGACGAAUACUGACGCUGAGGCGCGAAAGCGUGGGGAGCAAACAGGAUUAGAAA